Molecule: ribosomal RNA, 464 nt
Filed under: uncultured bacterium
Lineage: Bacteria
Description: partial 16S ribosomal RNA
Rfam family: Bacterial small subunit ribosomal RNA
Source: RNAcentral
CCUACGGGGGGCAGCAGUGGGGAAUUUUGCGCAAUGGGGGCAACCCUGACGCAGCAACGCCGCGUGAGUGAUGAAGGCCUUCGGGUCGUAAAGCUCUGUCAGAGGGGAAGAAAUGCAGGUGGUGAACAACCAUUCUGUUUGACGGUACCCUCAAAGGAAGCACCGGCUAACUCCGUGCCAGCAGCCGCGGUAAUACGGAGGGUGCAAGCGUUGCUCGGAAUCACUGGGUGUAAAGCGCGAGUAGGCGGUUAAUUAAGUCAGAGGUGAAAGCCCACGGCUCAACCGGGGAAGUGCAUCUGAAACUGGUAAGCUAGAGUGUGAGAGAGGGAUGCGGAAUUCCCGGUGUAGCGGUGAAAUGCGUAGAUAUCGGGAGGAACCCCAGUGGCGAAGGCGGCACCCGGGCUAAUAACUGACGCUGAGUCGCGAAAGCGUGGGGAUCAAACAGGAUUAGAUCCCCCUGUAGU